AUGCUGCUCGCGUGGUCCUGGCUGGCCGCGGCGGCCGGGAAGAAGGACGGGGGGAGGGUGCUCAUGCGGGCCGCCGUGCACAGCCUCACGGCGUACCUUGCCGUCAUCAGCGUGCUCUGCUUCUGGGGAAACCACUCCUUCUGGGGCGUGGCGCUCGCUGUAGGCGCUGCGCUCCACUUCCUCUACGUCAUGUCAGUGAUUGAUAGAUUUCCAUUUACAAUGCUAGUACUGCAAAAGGCAAUAAAGAUGGUCUGGGAACUUCCAGAUGUGAUGAGAGUAGCAUAUGCAUUUGUACUGGCAAUGCUUUGUUGGAUGGCAUUAUGGUCCUUCGGAGUUUCUGGCAUUGUUGCUAUGCCCAUACCGAAUUGUGGGCAAUGGUGGCUUGUUCUGGCUUUAUCAGUCAGUUUGUUUUGGACUGGAGCUGUCCUUAGUAAUACAGUCCAUGUCAUAGUAUCAGGAAUGGUGUUCCUUGUUCUCAUUCAUGGUGGACAAGCUGCUGCGUCGAUGCCCCCCAAACCACUUCUAAAGUCACUUCAGUAUGCUGUUACAACUUCUUUUGGAAGCAUUUGCUAUGGAUCACUCUUUACGGCUGCCAUUAGGACUUUACGUUGGGAGAUUAGAGGAGUUCGUUCUAAAAUUGGCAACAACGAGUGUCUUCUGUGCUGUGUUGAUUUUUUCUUUCAUAUUGUGGAGACGCUUGUUCGUUUCUUCAACAAAUAUGCAUAUGUACAGAUAGCUGUCAACGGACAGAGUUUCAAUCGUUCAGCUAGGGAUGCUUGGGAGCUGUUCCAGUCGACUGGCAUUGAAGCACUUAUUGCUUAUGAUUGUUCUGGUGCUGUUCUUUUGAUGAGCACAAUAUUAGGUGGGUUAAUUACAGGAACUUGUACUGGUGUUUGGACAUAUUUCACACAACGUGAUAAAGCAAUUAUGGUUGGCUCGACCUCUAUGCUGAUUGGCAUGAUACUGGUUGGGCUAGCUGUCGUGGUUGUUGAAAGCGCAGUUACAUCAAUAUACAUAUGCUAUGCUGAGGACCCUCUUCUAAUUCAGAGAUGGGAUCCUGAAUUUUUUGAGCAAAUGUCAGAAGCACUGCACCAGCGACUGCAGUACCGAAGCUCCAGAGCCCGCCAAAUACUGAACGGUCGGCUUGAUCAUUUGCCAGAUACAUCAAGUAUUUGA
This 1176-nucleotide ribosomal RNA is filed under the name Triticum aestivum (bread wheat). RNAcentral describes it as "partial small subunit ribosomal RNA". Lineage: Eukaryota; Viridiplantae; Streptophyta; Magnoliopsida; Poales; Poaceae. The record is from RNAcentral.